This 253-nucleotide ribosomal RNA is filed under the name uncultured bacterium. RNAcentral's name for it is "partial 16S ribosomal RNA". It matches the Rfam family "Bacterial small subunit ribosomal RNA", at positions 524 to 776 of the family's 1533-position model. The record is from RNAcentral.
UACGUAGGUGGCAAGCGUUGUCCGGAAUUAUUGGGCGUAAAGCGCGCGCAGGCGGUCCUUUAAGUCUGAUGUGAAAGCCCACGGCUCAACCGUGGAGGGUCAUUGGAAACUGGGGGACUUGAGUGCAGGAGAGAAGAGUGGAAUUCCACGUGUAGCCGUGAAAUGCGUAGAGAUGGGGGAGAACACUCGUGGCGAAGGCGGCCAGCUAGACCAGUUCUGACACUGAGACGCGAAAGCGUGGGGAGCAAACAGG